Molecule: non-coding RNA, 185 nt
Organism: Eubacterium sp. CAG:76
Lineage: Bacteria; Bacillati; Bacillota; Clostridia; Eubacteriales; Eubacteriaceae
Source: Rfam
CUACAAAGUAGAGGUCGCACGAUUCAAGAGUAACUGUACGGAUGUCCCCAAGCAUAUGAUGUGCAGCGAAAGGGGAAAGUGCCGAAGCAUAUAAUUCAGGGAAGUUAUAUGCUGGGCAUAAGGUUAAUAAUCUUAUGACUGUCAUUAUGGGCAUUGAUGCCUUAUGAUGGAGGGCUACGCGAAGA